GGAGCAGCCAGCGCCGUGCGCGCGCUUGCCGGCUGGAAAGGCUCCGGGCCCCGCGGCCAGCUUUUGGCUCCUGGCAGCCGGGCCGGGGUUCGCCGCCUCCUUUGUUAAUCUGCACGCAGGGCAAGCGGAGCUUGUCAACAUAGACUGUCAGUGGCUCUUCAGGAACCUCCUGGGCUAUCAGCACAAGACUGGCACUGCUGAUGCAUCUAAACAUUAUAAAAGUGUAACUGACAACCACACUGCUUUCUUAAAAAAUUUCAGCAUUAUUUCAUAAUUUUAGUGUGUAAGCCUUUUACAUGCUACUUGGUUCUAUUUAUUUCUUUAUAUAGACAAUUCUGUUGAUGAUGUAAGUAGGAUAUUUUUGAGACAGGAUCUCACUAUGUAGCCACAAGAAUUACUGUCUUAGUGUCUUUAUUCACAGUUUGCUGUUUGUGUACAGAAACAUUGUUGCUGUUUGUGUGUUGACUUUGCAUCCUGAAGCUUCUCUGAAUUGGUCUGUUGUUUUUGGUUUUGGUUUGAAUAUUUCUAUUUUCAAUAUAUAGGAUCAUAAGGUCUGCAGAGACACUUUA
Mesocricetus auratus (golden hamster) is the source of this 569-nucleotide long non-coding RNA. RefSeq lists it as uncharacterized. The transcript has 2 exons. NCBI's taxonomy places the organism in Eukaryota, Metazoa, Chordata, Mammalia, Rodentia, Cricetidae. The record is from RefSeq and is a predicted model, not a curated record.